AAAAGGUGAACACUUUCCAGUGCCACAGCUCACUCUGCAGAUUUCAUUCCCCUACUUGACUUCAUCCAAAAACCCCAUUCUCUACCUAACUGGAUUGUCAUCUUCAGAUAAUGCAGUCUGCCAAACCAGUCACCCUAUAAAUCCAUUCAACUCUGGGAUGCAGUUUGAGCUGGCAAAAAAAAAA
Molecule: non-coding RNA, 184 nt
Organism: Chelonoidis abingdonii (Abingdon island giant tortoise)
Lineage: Eukaryota; Metazoa; Chordata; Testudines; Testudinidae
Source: RefSeq, a predicted model, not a curated record